Molecule: ribosomal RNA, 253 nt
Filed under: uncultured bacterium
Lineage: Bacteria
Description: partial 16S ribosomal RNA
Rfam family: Bacterial small subunit ribosomal RNA
Source: RNAcentral
UACAGAGGGGGCAAGCGUUGUUCGGAAUUACUGGGCGUAAAGGGCGCGUAGGCGGCCUGCUAAGUCGAACGUGAAAUCCCUGGGCUCAACCCAGGAACUGCGUCCGAUACUGGUUGGCUUGAAUCCGGGAGAGGGAUGUGGAAUUCCAGGUGUAGCGGUGAAAUGCGUAGAUAUACGGAGGAACACCAGCGGCGAAGGCGGGUAGCUGGGCCAACACUGACGCUGAUGUGCGAAAGCUAGGGUAGCAAACGGG